AGCACAUUUCUUGUGUGACCGCGUACUUUUUGUAGAACGGGCCAACGAGUUACGUUAAGUAGCAAGGUUAAGCACGUAAGGUGCGGAGCCGUAGCGAAAGCGAGUUUUAACUGAGCGUUCAGUUACUGGACGUAGACCCGAAACCGGGCGACCUACCCAUGAGCAGGAUGAAGCGAAAGUAAAAUUUCGUGGAGGUCCGAACC
Molecule: ribosomal RNA, 203 nt
Filed under: Clostridioides difficile
Lineage: Bacteria; Bacillati; Bacillota; Clostridia; Peptostreptococcales; Peptostreptococcaceae
Description: partial 23S ribosomal RNA
Rfam family: Bacterial large subunit ribosomal RNA
Source: RNAcentral